Molecule: ribosomal RNA, 425 nt
Filed under: Bacillus sp. CR07
Lineage: Bacteria; Bacillati; Bacillota; Bacilli; Caryophanales; Bacillaceae
Also listed under: 1 other name
Description: bacterial SSU rRNA
Rfam family: Bacterial small subunit ribosomal RNA
Source: RNAcentral
GCUAAUACCGAUAACAUUUGAACCGCAUGUUCGAAAUUGAAAGGCGGCUUCGGCUGUCACUUAUGGAUGGACCCGCGUCGCAUUAGCUAGUUGGUGAGGUAACGGCUCACCAAGGCAACGAUGCGUAGCCGACCUGAGAGGGUGAUCGGCCACACUGGGACUGAGACACGGCCCAGACUCCUACGGGAGGCAGCAGUAGGGAAUCUUCCGCAAUGGACGAAAGUCUGACGGAGCAACGCCGCGUGAGUGAUGAAGGCUUUCGGGUCGUAAAACUCUGUUGUUAGGGAAGAACAAGUGCUAGUUGAAUAAGCUGGCACCUUGACGGUACCUAACCAGAAAGCCACGGCUAACUACGUGCCAGCAGCCGCGGUAAUACGUAGUUGGCAAGCGUUAUCCGGAAUUAUUGGGCGUAAAGCGGCGCAGGU